UACCUGGUGGUCUAGCGGCUAAGGAUUCCAUUCUCUCAUUGCUGUGGCCCGCGUUCGAUUCUCAGGCUGGGAAC
Molecule: non-coding RNA, 74 nt
Organism: Ameiurus melas (black bullhead)
Lineage: Eukaryota; Metazoa; Chordata; Actinopteri; Siluriformes; Ictaluridae
Source: the annotation of a GenBank genome assembly